This is a long non-coding RNA of Mus musculus (house mouse), 738 nucleotides long. RefSeq annotates it as predicted gene, 46815. The record is from RefSeq and is marked validated. The transcript is spliced from 3 exons. NCBI's taxonomy places the organism in Eukaryota, Metazoa, Chordata, Mammalia, Rodentia, Muridae.
GUGUGAUUGGCGCGCUUUCCCCUUGGUAGUAGGACGGUUUGGGUGUCUGUUGGGUUUGUUUUUGUUUGUUUGGGGUUUUUCUGGCUUCAGGGUUAAAAGGAAGGGAAAAGGCGUCGUUGGCAUCCCCAAGUUGUAAGUGGGUCAUGCAACACACUGCACCCAGAGCUUUCGGUGGUCUUAAAGCACAAGCCUUCUGCUCUGCGGCUAAAGUGUAAGCAGGGGCGCGAGCGCGAACAGCGUGUUGGUGACACCUCCCCGUCCCGAACUGCUUGUAGAACCAGAGCGUGAUAAAGAAGAUGUCAACUUAUGGCUACUUCUCCAGCCCCAUGCCUGCCCACCUGCCUACCAACCAGCUCACCUGCAGGCCUCCCCGCCUGCCUGCCUGCCUGCCUGCCUGCCUGCCUGCCUGCCUGCCUGCCUGCCGGAUGCCAAUACUCUUCACCAUGAAGGGCACUUAAGAAAUGGCUAACUCCCUCUGCUGAAAGCCACCGGUUCUGUGGUACCAUGGGAUAUGCCACCCCAGAUUUUUCAUUAAGAAUGAAGGACUUGGGCUGGUGAGAUGGCUCAGUGGGUAAGAGCACCCAACUGUUCUUCCAAAGGUCCAGAGUUCAAAUCCUAGCAACCACAUGGUGGCUCACAACCAUCCGUAACAAGAUCUGACUCCCUCUUCUGGAGGGUCUGAAGACAGCUACAGUGUAUUUACAUAUAAUAAUAAAUAAAUCUUUAAAAAAAAAAAAA